AACUCAUAUGCAUGAUUUUCCUUCAUUUGGCAAACCCUAACGCCUCCUGCACUCUCUCUUGCCCUCACGUCAUAAUUCUUGCCGGAAAUGAUAAGUUUUUAGGCGUGUGUGCUUUUGGUCAGUGUCUUCAAGACACUCUCAUCCUCACCACCGUGAAUCAACCUCAAAGUCGUGGGAAAGCUGAAGGAAAUCCCUACUUCCAAUCUCGACAAGGCUGCCACCACAAAAGGUCUGCCCAAGCAUAACUUGGCCCGCAGGAGCGAAAAUUCGAGUCAUUUAAUGAAUUCUGCCCUAGCGGGCGAGUAUCCACUGAGGCUGGAUCGCGGAAGCUAGAUUCCCUUUGCCCAGCGAUUGUCACUAAAUUAGAAACUUUAUUUCAUUCCCCAACUUCGAACCAUUAUUCCCAUUCACCAAAAAUCUAAUCCUAAGGAGUGUUGUGGGCGAUUUCUGAAGAAGUGUGGUGGAAUCAUCAUGGGACUUUGAUCGUUUUGAGGCGCUUCAGAAAGGGAAGGCUCAGUUGGAGUAGUACGUGGUUCCUGUUCGGCAAUUGAGGUAGGUUACGACUUACUUUAGUUAUACUUUGAUUAGUGAAACGUAUAUAUGCGUAGAAUUAACGGGAGAAAGCAAGAUUAGGUCUUCGGACAUGAUGUUGGGAUGGAUAAACAUUUAGGUUGGUAUGACUUCUGAUAAUGUGUACUUGUUUAUAUGUUUGGAGUGAUGUGGUGUGAUAGAUUCACUAUAUUGAUCCAAACUCGAUGUUCAUUCCAUUUCCAUAGUUGUUGUGAUUUAUACAAUUCUUGAUGUGGCUUCUGGUGUUAUGAUUUCCAUAGCAUGUUCAUUGGCAUUGAUUGCAUUUGAUUUAGCGUUCUUGUAUUUAUACACUCAUACAUGAAGGAAAUGGUGUGGAAACGAUGUGAUGAAAGAAAUGUGGUACUGAUGAUGAAAGAUUUAUGGUAACUAUGAAAGAAAAUGUGACACCUUUGAUGAAAGCAUUAUGUGAAUCCGUGUGUUACACCUCGAACAUUUCGUAUUGUUGUGCUGCGAAUAGACUAACUCAAGCUUAAGGUGAACAUAAGUCCAUGUGACCUUAAGGAGGGUAUUUGGUAGCUUAAAGGUGUAUACUACAAGAUUUUGAAGGAUUACGAAUCGGAGAAAUUAAACUUGUGAAGGAAGUGAAGCAUAAGUUGUGUUUGUGAAGGUUUAGCGAUUAUUGAGCUAACAAUUGUUUAGUAAUGUCUUGAGGAGAAGCUAUAGGGCUACUUAGAUGGUUAACCAACUGUUAAACAAGUGCCAAGAAGGUUCUGCAAGGAUUGAAGGUUGAAUGAAGCGGCUAGAGCAAGUUUCGGGAAAUUUCAGAUUGUACGGCCAUUUGUACGGACCGUAUAAUUUAUAUGGCCUGUAUAAUGGUCCGUUGAAUGCUUCCAGAGGAGAGUGACCCUUGGUAGGAUUAUACGGUCCAAUUGUACAGACCGUACAAUUUAUACGGCCUGUAUAAUUGGUCGUAUAACCGGGUUGGGUCACUUUUUUCUCUUUCCAUAUAUGCACGACCCUUGUUCCGAAUUUUCAUUUCCCACACUCUCCACACCUCUUGAGAGCUCUAGAAUAUUCCACGCACCAUAUUAACACAAAUCCAAGGGAAAUCAAGGACUAAACACCAAGAAU
Lycium ferocissimum is the source of this 1662-nucleotide RNA transcript. RefSeq lists it as uncharacterized. The record is from RefSeq and is a predicted model, not a curated record. NCBI's taxonomy places the organism in Eukaryota, Viridiplantae, Streptophyta, Magnoliopsida, Solanales, Solanaceae. The transcript has 4 exons.